GACGAACGCUGGCGGCGUGCUUAACACAUGCAAGUCGAACGAUGAAGCUAGAGCUUGCUCUGGUGGAUUAGUGGCGAACGGGUGAGUAACACGUGAGUAACCUGCCCCGAACUCUGGGAUAACUGCUGGAAACGGUAGCUAAUACCGGAUAUGACCAAUGAAGGCAUCUUCUGUUGGUGGAAAGAAUUUCGGUUCGGGAUGGACUCGCGGCCUAUCAGCUUGUUGGUGAGGUAACGGCUCACCAAGGCGACGACGGGUAGCCGGCCUGAGAGGGUGACCGGCCACACUGGGACUGAGAAACGGCCCAGACUCCUACGGGAGGCAGCAGUGGGGAAUAUUGCACAAUGGGCGCAAGCCCGAUGCAGCAACGCCGCGUGAGGGAUGACGGCCUUCGGGUUGUAAACCUCUUUUAGUAGGGAAGAAGCGAAAGUGACGGUACCUGCAGAAAAAGCACCGGCUAACUACGUGCCAGCCGCCGCGGUAA
Molecule: ribosomal RNA, 484 nt
Filed under: uncultured bacterium
Lineage: Bacteria
Description: partial 16S ribosomal RNA
Rfam family: Bacterial small subunit ribosomal RNA
Source: RNAcentral